Molecule: ribosomal RNA, 1063 nt
Filed under: Lactiplantibacillus plantarum
Lineage: Bacteria; Bacillati; Bacillota; Bacilli; Lactobacillales; Lactobacillaceae
Description: bacterial SSU rRNA
Rfam family: Bacterial small subunit ribosomal RNA
Source: RNAcentral
CUCAGGACGAACGCUGGCGGCGUGCCUAAUACAUGCAAGUCGAACGAACUCUGGUAUUGAUUGGUGCUUGCAUCAUGAUUUACAUUUGAGUGAGUGGCGAACUGGUGAGUAACACGUGGGAAACCUGCCCAGAAGCGGGGGAUAACACCUGGAAACAGAUGCUAAUACCGCAUAACAACUUGGACCGCAUGGUCCGAGUUUGAAAGAUGGCUUCGGCUAUCACUUUUGGAUGGUCCCGCGGCGUAUUAGCUAGAUGGUGAGGUAACGGCUCACCAUGGCAAUGAUACGUAGCCGACCUGAGAGGGUAAUCGGCCACAUUGGGACUGAGACACGGCCCAAACUCCUACGGGAGGCAGCAGUAGGGAAUCUUCCACAAUGGACGAAAGUCUGAUGGAGCAACGCCGCGUGAGUGAAGAAGGGUUUCGGCUCGUAAAACUCUGUUGUUAAAGAAGAACAUAUCUGAGAGUAACUGUUCAGGUAUUGACGGUAUUUAACCAGAAAGCCACGGCUAACUACGUGCCAGCAGCCGCGGUAAUACGUAGGUGGCAAGCGUUGUCCGGAUUUAUUGGGCGUAAAGCGAGCGCAGGCGGUUUUUUAAGUCUGAUGUGAAAGCCUUCGGCUCAACCGAAGAAGUGCAUCGGAAACUGGGAAACUUGAGUGCAGAAGAGGACAGUGGAACUCCAUGUGUAGCGGUGAAAUGCGUAGAUAUAUGGAAGAACACCAGUGGCGAAGGCGGCUGUCUGGUCUGUAACUGACGCUGAGGCUCGAAAGUAUGGGUAGCAAACAGGAUUAGAUACCCUGGUAGUCCAUACCGUAAACGAUGAAUGCUAAGUGUUGGAGGGUUUCCGCCCUUCAGUGCUGCAGCUAACGCAUUAAGCAUUCCGCCUGGGGAGUACGGCCGCAAGGCUGAAACUCAAAGGAAUUGACGGGGGCCCGCACAAGCGGUGGAGCAUGUGGUUUAAUUCGAAGCUACGCGAAGAACCUUACCAGGUCUUGACAUACUAUGCAAAUCUAAGAGAUUAGACGUUCCCUUCGGGGACAUGGAUACAGGUGGUGCAUGGUU